AGCGAACGCUGGCGGCAGGCUUAACACAUGCAAGUCGAACGAUCCUUCGGGAUAGUGGCGGACGGGUGAGUAACACGUGGGAACGUGCCUUUAGGUUCGGAACAACACAGGGAAACUUGUGCUAAUACCGGAUAAGCCCUUCGGGGAAGGAUUAUCGCCUUAGUAGCGGCCCGCGUCUGAUUAGCUUGUUGGUGGGGUAAAGGCCUACCAAGGCGACGAUCAGUAGCUGGUCUGAGAGGANGGCCAGCCACAUUGGGACUGAGACACGGCCCAAACUCCUACGGGAGGCAGCAGUGGGGAAUCUUGCGCAAUGGGCGAAAGCCUGACGCAGCCAUGCCGCGUGGAUGAUGAAGGUCUUAGGAUUGUAAAAUACCUUUCACCGGGACGAUAAUGACGGUACCCGGAGAAGAAG
This 412-nucleotide ribosomal RNA is filed under the name uncultured bacterium. RNAcentral describes it as "bacterial SSU rRNA". It matches the Rfam family "Bacterial small subunit ribosomal RNA", at positions 29 to 490 of the family's 1533-position model. The record is from RNAcentral.